AACGCAUCUUGCACUCCUUGGUAUUCCGAGGAGCAUGCCUGUUUGAGUGUCAUUAAAUUCUCAACUGUCUUCUACUUUUGUAGAGGACAGCUUGGAUUGUGGGGCUUGCUGGCCUCAACUUGUGUUGAGGUCGGCUCCUCUGAAAUGCAUUAGCGGAACCGUUUGCGAUCUGCCACAAGUGUGAUAAACUAUCUACACUGGCAAGGGGGAUUGCUUUCUGUGUUGUUCAGCUUCUAAUCGUCUCAAUGAGACAACAUUUUUGAACACUUGACCUCAAAUCAGGUAGGACUACCCGCUGAACUUAA
This 305-nucleotide unclassified non-coding RNA is filed under the name uncultured fungus. Its description in RNAcentral is "partial contains 5.8S ribosomal RNA, internal transcribed spacer 2, and large subunit ribosomal RNA". The record is from RNAcentral. Lineage: Eukaryota; Fungi.